Molecule: non-coding RNA, 97 nt
Filed under: Embleya scabrispora
Lineage: Bacteria; Bacillati; Actinomycetota; Actinomycetes; Kitasatosporales; Streptomycetaceae
Description: Streptomyces scabrisporus Glycine sequence
Rfam family: Glycine riboswitch aptamer
About the family: This family represents the bacterial glycine riboswitch. Glycine riboswitches usually consist of two metabolite-binding aptamers domains with similar structures in tandem. The aptamers cooperatively bind glycine to regulate the expression of downstream genes.
Source: Rfam by way of RNAcentral
UACGUUCGCGCGGGAGAGUCCUCGUGUCGUCCGCACGAGGCGCCGAAGGAGCAACUCCUCCCCGGAAUCUCUCAGGCACCCGUACCGCGUGGUCGUG